AAGCGGUAGUGACUUAGCGGCGGACGGGUGAGUAACGCGUGGGUAACCUGCCCCAUACCGGGGGAUAACGGUUAGAAAUGACCGCUAAUACCGCUUAAGCGCGCGAGGCCGCAUGGCCGUGCGCGAAAAACUCCGGUGGUAUGGGAUGGGCCCGCGUCUGAUUAGGUAGUUGGCGGGGUAAGGGCCCACCAAGCCGACGAUCAGUAGCCGACCUGAGAGGGUGGCCGGCCACAUUGGGACUGAGACACGGCCCAAACUCCUACGGAAGGCAGCAG
Molecule: ribosomal RNA, 275 nt
Filed under: uncultured bacterium
Lineage: Bacteria
Description: partial 16S ribosomal RNA
Rfam family: Bacterial small subunit ribosomal RNA
Source: RNAcentral